UACGGAGGAUGCGAGCGUUAUCCGGAUCUAUUGGGUUUAAAGGGUGCGUAGGCGGACUGUCAAGUCAGCGGUAAAAUUGAGAGGCUCAACCUCUUCCCGCCGUUGAAACUGGUGGUCUUGAGUGGAUGAGAAGUACGCGGAAUGCGUGGUGUAGCGGUGCAAUGCAUAGAUAUCACGCAGAACUCCGAUUGCGAAGGCAGCGUACCGGCAUCCAACUGACGCUGAGGCACGAAAGCGUGGGGAUCAAACAGG
RNAcentral lists this ribosomal RNA (252 nucleotides) under uncultured bacterium. RNAcentral's name for it is "partial 16S ribosomal RNA". It matches the Rfam family "Bacterial small subunit ribosomal RNA", at positions 524 to 776 of the family's 1533-position model. The record is from RNAcentral.